This 535-nucleotide ribosomal RNA is filed under the name uncultured bacterium. Its description in RNAcentral is "bacterial SSU rRNA". It matches the Rfam family "Bacterial small subunit ribosomal RNA", at positions 1 to 526 of the family's 1533-position model. The record is from RNAcentral.
GCUAUUUAGGUUAGAGUUUGAUCAUGGCUCAGGACGAACGCUGGCGGCGUGCUUAACACAUGCAAGUGGUGCGACGAACCAGGGCUUGCCCUGGGGCAAAGCCGCGAACGGGUGAGUAACACGUGAGUAACCUGCCCCGAUGACCGGGACAACCCGAGGAAACUCGGGCUAAUACCGGAUGUGGUGCACAUUCUUAAGUUUGUGUACUAAAGGAAGCUUCGGCCUCCGCAUUGGGAGGGGCUCGCGGCCCAUUAGCUUGUUGGUGGGGUAACGGCCCACCAAGGCUGCGAUGGGUAGCUGGUCUGAGAGGACGAUCAGCCACACUGGGACUGAGACACGGCCCAGACUCCUACGGGAGGCAGCAGUGGGGAAUCUUGCGCAAUGCGCGAAAGCGUGACGCAGCAACGCCGCGUGGGGGAAGACGGCCUUCGGGUUGUAAACCACUGUCGGGAGGGACGAAUGCGCCGCAAGGCGAGUGACGGUACCUCCAAAGGAAGCACCGGCUAACUCCGUGCCAGCAGCCGCGGUAAUCGCC